GAAUAACACUCUUUUUCUCUCAGUGCUUUGAACUCUGGUACCCUACAGCUCCGACCACCCCUCUCUGCAACAGCAAGAACUCACACUGAGGUGCCCCUCUCUCUCUCUCUCUCUCUCUCUCUCUCUCUCUAUUUCCCUCUCCCCUUUCCUGCUGUGUCGCACUUCUCUUUCUCUUCCCAUAAGUCGUACCUCUCUCUGCUCCCUUCUCAUUUGUCUUUCACUUUCUCCCACAUGUGCUUGUCUGCUUCAGAUGUGCUGCUGUACCUUUUGCAUUGAAGAAACUUUCUGAUGUUUUUUUUCUGUCCUGUUGGGACUGAGAACAGGCGUGCACAGCUUCUUCUGCUGGGCUUUCUACGGUGAAGGGGGUAGGACUCGUGCCGCACACAUAUACACAAUCACGUGUUCCUGUCCGUUCAAAGGUGAGUAUUCUCAGGGCAAGGGUUACUUACUUCAACACAUACACACCCAUCCAUGUUGGCGGCGGUUUAUCAGGGAAAGUGGAGCUCUCCUCUCCUGCAGAGCUCAUCUGUUCCUGUGCCACCCUGCAAACUCCCUGUAGACAUUAGUGGGCUUUCCACACUCCCCACCCAAGGGGCAGGUGGAACACACACAUUCGCACUAACCAAACACCUCCUACUGCGUGGCAUUGAAUAGGACAGCUGCCCAGGAGGUUAUGGCCAACUGCUUUAUGUGUAAUGCAGCCACCAUCAAAGCCAGUUGUUUUGAAGAGACAGGAUGUGAGGCAGGAUGUCCAGAUUAAAUAACAGACCUAUUAAUGUCAGCCUGACAACAGCGCAAGAGAGGAGAAAACCCUUCAGAACUUUAGCUGUCAUAAUUCGAUACACCAACGGAACAAUGCUUUUUGAUUUCAGAUCAAAUAAUCCUGAAGUCAUGCGGUUCUGUGAAGAAUUCAUUGGCUUUUUAUGCACAGUCAUAUAUAUACAAUGUCAGUGUUCAUGUGCGGCGUGUGUUCACAGGGUGUAUGGUGUGGGAACAGAGAUAGGGGAGGUCCCUGCGUUGUUCACGGCCCGGGCGGGCGGGUUGUCAGGGACGGGCCCGGGUGAUGAAGCCUGUGAGGAGUUUGCAGAGCUGUUCCACUCAACAAUGGUAAGAAUCGUCAGUCUGACGUCCGCUUCACAGCAUCUCUCACUGGCGCUGCAGGAGAGUAUUUCCUGUGCAGUCUGAAGCCUGAUUCCCCCAAAUCUCUCCUUUUGCUCCUCAUGUACUCUGAGACUGAAGACGACACGCUUUCUACGUCUGUGGCUUUUUUUUGUUUUUAAAUCUACUGAAAUCUUCUGCCACUUUGAAUCCGAAAUCAUCCUCCAGUAGCACUGCAAGUGAAGACGAAGCGGGUCCCUUUCUCCGAAACGGAUUUAAAAAGAUGUACCUUGCUUUUUUGUAAACUACAUUUUGUCCAGGACAGUAUCCACAAUAGCAUUGCAAAUAUAGAGUAGUUGUCAACUUUUUUUUUUUUGUAUGUUGUUCAGCUUUGACGGAGCACAGGAAGUGAUUUAAUUGGGUAUUUGUGUGUUUUACUCAUUUGUUUAUAUGUUUCUAGGUGUAUUUCUGUGCUUGUAUGACGUCUAACAGCAUAACAGAAUGGUUCCAGACGUCCUUUGCCCAAAGGUCAAGGGCAUGGGAUUGUAUGUCAAGUGUCUGUGUCGUCAUGUUGGUUUCUAGAGAUCACCAGACAUAUGGCACGUGUGCGACUGCACACACACGAGCGAGGCUGGCACAAAGCAGCUCAACAGAAGAGACUUCAUCAGCUGCAUCCAUUUAUAGUCAUCAACAGCUGUUUUAGUCAUUGAAACAGCAUCGUUUUUUUAAUUGAUAUUUAUGUGUGCUUUUAUUUUAUUUAAAACAAGUGUUAACAAGACAAGCAAAAAUGUCUGGUUUCUUGUUUAACUUUGAGUAACACUGUUAAAAAAUGCUUCUGAAUCAUUGUUUCCGGCACUGAAAGGGUUAGUAAGUCUGUGAAUUCUCCCCUGCCAACUCCCAGGCAGUCGAAUAAGUAACCCAAUUCGGAGGCAUCUGUUCGGGGAAGGGCGUGUAUCUGCCUCCCCCUCGCCCUGAUUCCUCUGCGCUCCUCUUCUCCCGGAGCUGUGGUUAGCCCUGCCCUUACGGGUCAUGUGACUUCUCUGAAACUCCCUCCUCCCCCUGCCUCCCCCCGUGUUUCCAGUAAACUGCUGAAAGGAGGGGCUGAGUCAGUCUUCAACCAGCUUCCCUUUGACCACAGCUUGUUAAAGAAUUUGUCAACGUGGACUCCAGGGUGCACAUUUUUUUCCUCCUUGUGAUAGAUAGAUUUAAAUGUUUUUCAUCUCUUCCUCCCUGGAACGGUCCGAUUACGUCAGGCACCCAUGAUCACUUCCUGCGCUACGCCGUAGAAAGAGAGAGAGAGUGUGUGUGUGUGUGUGUGUGUGUGUGUGUGAGAGAGGCUCAUAUAAAGGACUUUGAUAUUUGGCGGCAUGUGUGCCAGAGACAUUUGUCUUGGUGCCUGUCUGAAAGAGUUUCAUUCAGAAAAAAAGACUGGACUAAUAAUCUGAGAAAGGGGGGGGAAAUAACAAUUUAGGGUUUAACCUGAUUACGAUCUUCCUGUGAUUCUCCCAGCUGGCGAUCUGAUUUUCCGGUAUUAGAUCAUGUGUAAUAUUUGCUUUUGCAAACUCACUUGCUCCGCAGACUGACAAAUUAACUUUCUGUAUAAAUAAAACAGAAACUGACGCAAAUAAACUCUAAACUACCAUUGAAAUCUGUUACCUUAAUUUAUUAAAUAAAAAAUGUGAUUAAAAAGAAUUUUUUUUAUUAAAGGGUUAGCUAACCCCAAAAGUGAAUUUCUGUCAUUAUUUACUCAUUUAGUAACCCAUUUGUAGUUGAAAACCUGUAUGACUUUCUUUUUC
Long non-coding RNA from Sinocyclocheilus grahami, 2894 nucleotides. NCBI's taxonomy places the organism in Eukaryota, Metazoa, Chordata, Actinopteri, Cypriniformes, Cyprinidae. The record is from Ensembl.